This 134-nucleotide small RNA is filed under the name Salmonella enterica. RNAcentral describes it as "RtT sRNA". It matches the Rfam family "RtT RNA". From Rfam's summary of the family: This family represents a bacterial cis-regulatory element known as RtT RNA. The exact function of RtT is unknown although it is thought that it may be involved in changing the cellular response in relation to amino acid starvation. The record is from RNAcentral. Lineage: Bacteria; Pseudomonadati; Pseudomonadota; Gammaproteobacteria; Enterobacterales; Enterobacteriaceae. RNAcentral also lists the same sequence under 1 other name.
UGUAUCUGAAGCCUGACGAGGAUGAGAACCUCCGGGGGUAAGAGGUUAGACUCGAGCGAAGCGAGAGAACGUUGCGCCAGCAACGGCCCGCAGGGCGAGCCACGCAGUGGCGAGUCAUCCUCUAUCACCGGCAG